GCGCCUGUAGCUCAGCUGGAUAGAGCAACGGCCUUCUAAGCCGUAGGCCCAGGGUUCGAAUCCCUGCGGGCGCGCCA
RNAcentral lists this transfer RNA (77 nucleotides) under Christensenellaceae bacterium. RNAcentral's name for it is "tRNA-Arg". It matches the Rfam family "tRNA". Rfam says of the family: Transfer RNA (tRNA) molecules are approximately 80 nucleotides in length. Lineage: Bacteria; Bacillati; Bacillota; Clostridia; Christensenellales; Christensenellaceae. The record is from RNAcentral.